Molecule: long non-coding RNA, 935 nt
Organism: Solanum lycopersicum (tomato)
Lineage: Eukaryota; Viridiplantae; Streptophyta; Magnoliopsida; Solanales; Solanaceae
Source: RefSeq, a predicted model, not a curated record
UAUAUAUUUUAUGUAGUAAAGAAUGGAGACUGGCAGUUGACUUUGCUGAAGAAAAGUCUCUUCCAAUGGAUUGUCAAUUUCUCCUCAACAAGUGCUUUGUCUAAUACAUUACACCAAGUUUGAGAAAAACAAGAUCCAGCGGAUGAAAAUACAACAAAAAAAGAGGCAGCGCUGGAUUGUCAAUUUCUCCUCAACAAUAGCUCUCUCUAAUACAUUAGAGCAAGUUGAAGAAAAUAUACAUCAAGUUAAAAGUGGAAGGAAGAACGAGAGAACAAAGAACAGACCUUUUUUUAAAUCUCCAUCUGUUAGACUCGUAAAUUACUUGAUCUAAUUACGUACAAACAUGUCAAGGACUUGGGCAUUGGUCUUGACAUGAAUGAGGGCAAAACAGUGCAACACAGGUUCAAGGUGUUUGGGUGUUGGCAAGGCAACUUGAACAUGCAAGGCUUAAGUGCGGGCUAGAGUCAUCGGCAAGGCAGCGUGUUGGCUUGACAAGGCAAAACUGUGAAGACUUGACGAUGGUAAGAACAAAGGCAUUCCACGUAAAUUGCUGAAAUAAAACCAAGUGUUGGAGGACAACUAAAAUAUUCUAAGUGUUGGAAGCUGGCUGAAAUAAUCUAAGUGUUGGAAUGUAGCCUGAAAUAUUCUAAGUGUUAAAAUAUUAAUAUUUCGUGUGGAUAAGGAUGUAAUUUAAAUUAGAGUCUAUCUGUUAGAAAUAUAUCUGUUGGAAACUUAGUUUGAAUCUUGUGAUGACAAGUGUCGGACAUGUGUCAUUUGUAACUGCCGCAUGUAACUGCCAUGUGCAGAAAUUUUAAUAAGGGUGGAAAUUUUGUUUAAGGCUUAGAGGAGUGUGUUUUCUGGCCUUAGACAAAUUCGUGAAGCCUUCCCUUUGUAUUAAUUAUCAGAUUAAUAAAGGUUGGACGAGUUCCUUUAAA